RNAcentral lists this ribosomal RNA (400 nucleotides) under uncultured bacterium. Its description in RNAcentral is "bacterial SSU rRNA". It matches the Rfam family "Bacterial small subunit ribosomal RNA", at positions 355 to 767 of the family's 1533-position model. The record is from RNAcentral.
UCGAGAAUAUUCGACAAUGGGCGAAAGCCUGAUCGAGCGACGCCGCGUGCAGGAAGAAGGUUUUCGGAUUGUAAACUGCUUUUCUCUCCGAGAAACGCAAGUGAUUGUAGGAGAGGAAUAAGAGGUUGGUAACUACGUGCCAGCACCCGCGGUAAUACGUAGACCUCAAGCGUUAUCCGGAUUUAUUGGGCGUAAAGGGCGCACAGGUGGUUUGGUUAGUCAGUUGUUAAAUACCGCCGCUCAACGGCGGAACCGCAACUGAAACGGCCAGACUAGAGGAAUGGAGAGGGAGUAGGAACUCACGGUGUAGGGGUGAAAUCCGUUGAUAUCGUGGGGAACACCAAAGGCGAAGGCAAGCUCCUGGCCAUUUCCUGACACUCAAUGCGCGAAAGCGUGGGGA